CGUAGGGUGCGAGCGUUAAUCGGAAUUACUGGGCGUAAAGCGUGCGCAGGCGGUUUAGUAAGACAGGCGUGAAAUCCCCGGGCUCAACCUGGGAACUGCGCUUGUGACUGCUAAGCUAGAGUACGGCAGAGGGGGUGGAAUUCCACGUGUAGCAGUGAAAUGCGUAGAGAUGUGGAGGAACACCAAUGGCGAAGGCAGCCCCCUGGGUCGAUACUGACGCUCAUGCACGAAAGCGUGGGUAGCAAACAGGAUUAGAUACCCUGGUAGUCCACGCCCUAAACGAUGUCAACUAGGUGUUGGGAGGGUAAAACCUUUUAGUACCGGAGCUAACGCGUGAGGUUGACCGCCUGGGGAGUACGGCCGCAAGGUUA
Molecule: ribosomal RNA, 371 nt
Filed under: uncultured organism
Description: bacterial SSU rRNA
Rfam family: Bacterial small subunit ribosomal RNA
Source: RNAcentral